AAACGGUGAGUAAUACCGUAUACGCCCUCAGGGGGAAAGAUUUAUCGGAGAAGGAUCAGCCCGCGUUAGAUUAGGUAGUUGGUGGGGUAACGGCCUACCAAGCCUACGAUCUAUAGCUGGUUUUAGAGGAUGAUCAGCCACACUGGGACUGAGACACGGCCCAGACUCCUACGGGAGGCAGCAGUAGGGAAUCUUGGACAAUGGGGGCAACCCUGAUCCAGCCAUGCCGCGUGAGUGAAGAAGGCCCUAGGGUCGUAAAGCUCUUUCGCCUGUGAUGAUAAUGACAGUAGCAGGUAAAGAAACCCCGGCUAACUCCGUGCCAGCAGCCGCGGUAAUACGGAGGGGGUUAGCGUUGUUCGGAAUUACUGGGCGUAAAGCGCGCGUAGGCGGAUUGGAAAGUUGGGGGUGAAAUCCCGGGGCUCAACCCCGGAACUGCCUUCAAAACUCCCAGUCUANAGUUCGAGAGAGGUGA
RNAcentral lists this ribosomal RNA (472 nucleotides) under uncultured bacterium. Its description in RNAcentral is "bacterial SSU rRNA". It matches the Rfam family "Bacterial small subunit ribosomal RNA", at positions 154 to 660 of the family's 1533-position model. The record is from RNAcentral.